RNAcentral lists this long non-coding RNA (1149 nucleotides) under Oncorhynchus mykiss (rainbow trout). RNAcentral's name for it is "lncRNA (ENSOMYG00000053836.1)". The record is from RNAcentral. Lineage: Eukaryota; Metazoa; Chordata; Actinopteri; Salmoniformes; Salmonidae.
GAGCAACACAGGUAACUAUGUGGAAGAGCAGGAUAGAGCAACACAGGAAACUAUGUGGAAGAGCAGGAUAGAGCAACACAGGUAACUAUGUGGAAGAGCAGGAUAGAGCAACACAGGAAACUAUGUGGAAGAGCAGGAUAGAGCAACACAGGUAACUAUGUGGAAGAGCAGGAUAGAGCAACACAGGUAACUAUGUGGAAGAGCAGGAUAGAGCAACACAGGAAACUAACUAACUGCUCUGUAUUAUAGAGCUGACAUAGUGGACAUUCACAUCUUUUCCCAGCUAUUAAUGAAUGUUUUAAUGUUGCUGUACUGUUCAGACAGGAGCUGGACCAGGAGAAGAUUUACAGAGCGGCUCUAAGGAACAGAAUCAUUCCUCCUUAUUUCCACUCAGAGAAAGGAGCAGGUUUCGAGUACUCGGAGGUCCCUGAUAUGAGAUCUCUGUCUCAGGACCUUCCUCCAUUCCCCAACACUCCCAACUCCCAGAACUACCUCAGAGAUGCCCCUCGGGAGACAGCCCAGCGACCUUUGAACCCCACGCCCUCUCACGCAGCAGGAAGUGAUGCGCUGCCUAGGAGACCCACCAACCCCACCCCUCAAACUGCAGGUCUGCUCAGUACACGACUUAGACUUGGGUUAGUGUUAGGGUAAGAGUGGUGACAGCUGGUCUUACUGGGGUUCGAGUCAUAACGAAAAAGACAUUACAGACAAAUGACUUUACAAUUUACAUCAAUUUAAAAACCUUAGUGUGUGUGUGUGUGUGCGUCUAUCAGUUACACAUACAUGUCAGUACAUAAACACAACAAGUAUGUAUGUACUGCGGCGUUGUGCCGUGAGGUAUUGCUUUAUCAGUUUUUCUGGAUCUGUGGACUUUGAAAAGACCCCUGGUGGCAUGUCUGGUAGGCAGGGUUUGCACGAGGUGCUUGAAUUUGUUCUGAACCUGGGGACUUUGAAAAGACCCCUGGUGGCAUGUCUGGUAGGCAGGGUUUGCACGAGGUGCUUGAAUUUGGCACUCUGAAAUUCAAGUACUGGAAUACCUUGAAAAUCAGACAUUUACUCAAGUUGGUAGUUGAAAAGUUGUCCCACCUAGCCAUCGUAAGAUGAAUGCACUAACUGUAAGUGGCUCUGGAGAAGAGCGUCUGCUGAAUG